Durio zibethinus is the source of this 610-nucleotide non-coding RNA. The record is from RefSeq and is a predicted model, not a curated record. NCBI's taxonomy places the organism in Eukaryota, Viridiplantae, Streptophyta, Magnoliopsida, Malvales, Malvaceae.
AAAAGCAUAAGAGGCUUGAAAAGUAACCUUGAGAUAGAUAUCCAUGGCCCUAUAGAGACCAUCAUCACAUGAUCGAGCAUUUUCUGGCAAGGAUUCAGCAAGAACCUGAAAUUUUGUGAUGGAAAGAUUUGGAUCCCUUGCUAUUUCAGCUAAGUAAUUGUCCAAUAGCUUACUAACAUUUGUUUUCCCCAUUUGUUGCUGUUGUUGUUGUUGUUCAUGCAGCAAGAAAUAGUCCAAAAUCCUUUGCACCACAUCUAUGUUGUGCAUUGUUCGCUGCUCAGGCGAACUGUUGAGGGAGUUAUAUGAACAGGAAAUCAGUCUAAUUUCAUGGUUACAAAGGGAACUUCUCUUUUGGAGAUUUUCUUUUUGGAUUAAAGUUCUAAAUUAGACAAUCUACAAUUGAGCAUCAUUCCAAUUCUCUUUUCAAGAUCUGAUAUCAGAGCUGGUGACGCGGAAUAUACCAUGGCUGUUUUCAGCAUCUGCAACAAGAACUUACAUGAAACAGCUUCAUAUUGAGACGGAAGGUUUCACAAGAUUUGAGGACAGUAAUAGUGUCUUUCCAGGAAGCCAGGACUACAAACGUGAGAAAAGCUUCUGUCUUGGCUAUGAG